CGAACCUUGGCUCUAGACUGCUUACUGUUGCGUAGNNNUAGGAGGAGUAACAGUCUCCAGUCACGGCCACCGACGA
RNAcentral lists this microRNA precursor (76 nucleotides) under Zonotrichia leucophrys gambelii. RNAcentral's name for it is "microRNA212". It matches the Rfam family "mir-132 microRNA precursor family", at positions 10 to 84 of the family's 84-position model. The record is from RNAcentral. Lineage: Eukaryota; Metazoa; Chordata; Aves; Passeriformes; Passerellidae.